This 2648-nucleotide long non-coding RNA is filed under the name Zea mays. RNAcentral describes it as "long non-coding RNA (ZMAY_LNC002595)". Lineage: Eukaryota; Viridiplantae; Streptophyta; Magnoliopsida; Poales; Poaceae. The record is from RNAcentral.
GGCGCCAGAAAGUCAACUGGGAGACGCCACCUAGAUCGAAUCAAACUCCUCGAUACGUGGCUCCACUGAACCACCUGUUCUUCUCCUGUGGGGGGGGUGUGAGACAGCAAGGGUGAGGUCACACAUGUUCAUCGCUCAACAAGUUGUGGGGAAUAAUGUGGCACGAACUCACCAAAGGUGGAAGCUCAUGUUAUGUGUAAGGCUGAUCAACAAUAGGGGUUUAAAGCUGAGCAUUGCUUUUAAAUAGUUGGUCAAAAUUUUAUUAGCAGUUACUAAAUAUAAGUAAAUACCAAACCUUAAAUAAAGUAAUAGAACAAAAUUAAUAAUAAUCCCAUGCAUAUGCAAAUGACAAAUUGAGUUUAGGUUCCAUAAUUUAAUCAUCAGAGAGUCCUGAGCUGCUCAUGACCGUGAGCUCGGCUAGUAUACCAGUUUUACACUCUGCAGAGAUUGUACCCUUUACCCACAAGUCGUGUAUCCCAUGUCGCCAGGGUUAGCUAGACCCUUAGACACUACCGAGGUGAAUGGCUAGGGAUCCACUACGAGGCCUUUACAAAGUUCCACUAGCUUCCGAAAACCCGCUACAGUUUAUGGGAAGAGCACUUGCAAGAAUCCCCCGUCUGAUCGCCAUCGCAGCAAAAUCAACCCGAGAACCUCCUUGCAUGCAAUCCCCUAUUGCCCUUGCCCCUUUCGGGUAAGAUAGUCUUCCACUAGCUUUCCUAGUUAGUUGGCCAAGGGCGUCCCAUUAAACCCUUGUGGUGGCACGUGUUUCUCAAGUUAAGCUCCAUGUUCCAAUUAACAUUAAUGAUCUUGACAUGAACAUAAAUAGAAUAAUAAAAGAAUUGGAACAUGUAUAUAACAAAAUAUUAUCCCAAAACCAUGUAAAGCAAUAGCAAAACUACCCAAGUGAUUCAGGGAUAACAAGGUAAAAUGGAAUAACAAUCUAGGGUGACCUAUCGGGUCCCAUCAAAAUUAAGCCUAUGCAUGGUAAAUUAUUAUAAAGAACAUUAUUGGGUAACAAAAGUGAAACAAGGGCACAACUUGCCUUCAAUGAGCUCCUGCUCAGCUACUUCUAUCUGCUGGUCACCAGGAUCCACAGUCAACGGCUCUUCUACUCGCCAAUACAAACAAGCACAGUAUAUAGAGAAAAUUAACAUCACACCAAACAUAUAAACAAAAUACACAGUAAUAAUCUACACAUUAAAAUAAAAUCCUAGGAACAGGAAUCAUAAUUUUUUUGGAGUUAUAGAUUUUAAGAUAUGAAUUUCCUAAGGUUUUAUGUGGUUUAAAUAAGAUUAAGUGAGAAAUUAUUUUUCUUACUGUUUUCAUGUCAAAACAGAGACUCUAAGUGAUAGAGAAUAAUAUUACAAAAAAUUAGAAAGUGGAAUGGAUCAAUUUGGACCAAGUAUGGAUUUUCUAUGAAUUCAUCAAGUUCUAGUAAUUAUUUUCAUAUUAAAAUCUAUUUUCCAAUUUAUUUAUUCAAUUUCAAGCUGCACUGGACUGGGCCUCAUUUUCUGGAAAACUCAGGGGUCACAACGCAAAGUUCCCUAGACUCAGCGAACAGUGAGCGGGACGGCGGGUUGAUUAGCUAAUUUAUCAGGGGCUCUUAUGCUAUUCUGUCAUGGCGAAAGGGUAUCGUGAUCUCAGGGCCGUCCGAUCCGGAAUCUAGGGCUGAGAUUAAAUCCGAUCGCGACCGAAGCGGUACGCAAUCAUGACCCUCGGAUCAAAGAUCCACGGCCAGAAAUCCCUCUCUUACCCUAAACUGCUCUAUCCCUUGGAUCCAAAAAUCACGGUCCAGAUCAAAUCCUUGAAACGGCAUGUUGGAUCCUCUAAUCUACGCCGUCAAUCACCAGAUCAAUGCCCCAGUACCUUCGCCAGAGUCUGCUAUCCGCGCACAGCGACGCUGUCGUUGCCUCACAGCGAGAGUUCGUCGGCGACAAGCAAUCGGUCCAAUCCCCGCACUAAAUUCUAAGAGGUUUGUAGCUACACGUGAACAACUACACGGCGAAAACGAUGAAGGCACUGCAUACCGUGUUCCGCCUCGGUGGAGGUCCCGCCACGGCGCAGCGCGGGUGAACGGCAAUGGAGUUGCUCCGGCGAGCAAUUCAGGUAGCUCUGGUAGAAAUUCCCAGGUGGCACGGCCACGACCUCUUUCCCUCAGGCCCGAGGAAGUCGCUGGCACGGUACCGAAGGCUUGGAUGACGACGGUGCUGAGCAUCCACGCGGCGGCGCAGAUUUGCUUUGCCCCGACGAGCACCCAUACGCGCGGGCGAUUCUCCCCAGCCUUCCGCCUUGGUCCAUAAGCCGACGUGCCCGCAUCCCUUGGCGAGGUAUCGCUCUCACUCUCGGUCUCUCUUUGACGAUAGCUUGGUGGGGGCGCAUGGCUUCGCCCGAGGUGGCCGACGAGCGUCGAGUGGAGGGGAUGACUGCGGUGCCCUCCCCCUGGUUCGAGUUCUAUGGCUAUGGCGGUCCUCGGCUUUUUCUGCGUCGAGUGGUGGUGUAUCUGGAUCGAUAGGCGAGGGAAACACAGUCGGCUGGCCUUGUAGCCAUCGGCGAGCGGCAAUCACGGAGGGGAUUUCGGUCCUAAGCUUUGUAACAGCUAACGAGAUAAAUCCGGCCAGCCCCCGAGUCCACGCCCAAGGAAUCCGGUC